This 87-nucleotide small nuclear RNA is filed under the name Salvator merianae (Argentine black and white tegu). RNAcentral's name for it is "U4 spliceosomal RNA (ENSSMRG00000020844.1)". The stretch from base 1 to 74 matches the Rfam family "U4 spliceosomal RNA". From Rfam's summary of the family: U4 small nuclear RNA (U4 snRNA) is a component of the major U2-dependent spliceosome. The structure of U4 snRNA from yeast and human has been reported. U4 snRNA presents a k-turn RNA motif in the 5p-SL related to recognition of Snu13 protein. Lineage: Eukaryota; Metazoa; Chordata; Lepidosauria; Squamata; Teiidae. The record is from RNAcentral.
ANCUGUGCACAGUGGCAGUAUCGUAGCCAAUGAGAUUUAUCCGAGGCAUAAUUAUUGCUGAUUGAAACUUUAGAGUGCUAUAACAGC